Molecule: long non-coding RNA, 1731 nt
Filed under: Equus caballus (horse)
Lineage: Eukaryota; Metazoa; Chordata; Mammalia; Perissodactyla; Equidae
Description: lncRNA (ENSECAG00000047174.1)
Source: RNAcentral
CUGGCUUCCAGCCUGCUUAACCCCUUGUAGGGCCUGAGAGCAAGACAGCACGGUGAGGCGUGCCAGCCCCAAGAGACACCUCAUACACAGAGGCUGCGGCCGGAAGGGGCCGAGGACAGGAUGGGCGACCCAGUCAUACAGCAACAUCUGGGGGCGGGCGGGUGAGUCCACCCACUGUGCAGGUGAGGAAAAGUUGCCCCGAGCUGGUGGGCAUGCUGUCCCACUUUGCAGAACCUCUGCCUGACUUCUGGGGAGACCAGAGAUUCAUGUCCAAUCAAGCAUCCUGGGAACGCCUCCAAUUUGCCAUGAAAUAGUUGUAAGUGUCAAGAAAAGCAGUUUCCAGGUUAAGGGAAGUCGAGGGGAAGACCCAUCCUUGGGUUUCUGGGUGGCAUCAGGCUAUAAGAAGCAGCUACCGUGGGUCUCUGCGGCCACAGGCCCCUGCCCGCUACCCGCCCGGACGGGCUCCCCUGGGGCCAGUGCUCAGUGCCAGCCUCUCUCCUGGGCCUCCAGGAGGACGCCUCCCUAAUUAGCUGCCAAGAGUGUUGCGAUGGGCAGCAGGCUGGCAGGGCCGGCCGGCCACAGGGAGCCACAGCCCGAAAUAAAUAGUCUCUCUGGGAAAGUUCUGCUGUCACCUCAGAGGCCCAGGUGGUCCAGGAGGACCCUGGCCUUGCAGCUUCCUCUGCUCCAUACGCCGGGGGACCGUCCAGGCAGGGGGACAGCACGGGCAAAGGUCUGGAGAUGCGACCACAUGGCAGAGGGACACUCCAGCCUGGGUGCCGCCGUCUUACCUCUGACAGCUCACAACGUGCAACGCUCUUUUAAGCGGCAGCAGCAGCAAGAAUCCUGAAAAUCUGCAGACCUGGUCUGUGUGGCUCCAGAGUUUUGAAGCUGAAGGAUGAAACGGAGAUAACUGAAGGAAGUACAAAAUAAGGAAUAACUUGCAAACACAUCAAGGUGAGCACAAGGGGUGGCCACGCUGGAUUUCCUGGUCUAGAUGACCUUUGAGUUUCCUGCAGAGCCUGACAUUCAAGGUUUCAUGUUUCCCCUAAAACAAGAAGGUGCUGGAGAAACAAUAAACACGGAUGCAGCAUUCAAUACACCUCAUCCUCCUCCAUCCUGUGAUAUUGGCGUUGAGAUCCCGACUUUACAGACACGGGACAGGACAGCAGCCAAGUGAAGGAUUCACCUGAAGUCAGCUGGCAGGUGACAGAAGAGGGACUCAAACUCCGCUCUGUCUGGUUCCGGGGGUUUUUCAUUUCACGAGUUUCCUCCCUGUCUGCAUGCAAGCCCCUGGUGGAAUGCGAGCUAAUUUUGGGGGGGGGGGGUAUGUGGAUGAAAAAGUUAAAUUUAAUUAACUUUGAAUUUAUUUGAAGGCACAUUGUAAUAAAUAUAUAAACUGUACAUCAAACCAGUGAUUUCACGGCUACUAUUUUGUAGGAGGAGGAGAAAUUUUUUCAAAAAGUGCGUUGAUUUAGAGUGAAUUGAAGAGAAGGAUUAACUUGAUAACAGUAAAGCUGUAGGUGGAUCCAGCAAAACCGUGAUGACGGUGGGCGAAGGAUGAAGGGGGCACCCGGCCCUAGACCAGGUGGCACCUCUCGUCCCAGGAGUGCGAGCUCACCAGGUCUGCUGUUGAGGAAAAGACUGGGCGGGGGGCGCAGGGGCGGGCGCUGUGCGCCUUCCGCUGAACCACGCUCUGCUCACGGCCCCUCACUUUAUCACAAACGCUCUCUC